This 795-nucleotide ribosomal RNA is filed under the name Escherichia coli. Its description in RNAcentral is "partial 23S ribosomal RNA". It matches the Rfam family "Bacterial large subunit ribosomal RNA", at positions 419 to 1215 of the family's 2925-position model. The record is from RNAcentral. Lineage: Bacteria; Pseudomonadati; Pseudomonadota; Gammaproteobacteria; Enterobacterales; Enterobacteriaceae.
GGGACACGUGGUAUCCUGUCUGAAUAUGGGGGGACCAUCCUCCAAGGCUAAAUACUCCUGACUGACCGAUAGUGAACCAGUACCGUGAGGGAAAGGCGAAAAGAACCCCGGCGAGGGGAGUGAAAAAGAACCUGAAACCGUGUACGUACAAGCAGUGGGAGCACGCUUAGGCGUGUGACUGCGUACCUUUUGUAUAAUGGGUCAGCGACUUAUAUUCUGUAGCAAGGUUAACCGAAUAGGGGAGCCGAAGGGAAACCGAGUCUUAACUGGGCGUUAAGUUGCAGGGUAUAGACCCGAAACCCGGUGAUCUAGCCAUGGGCAGGUUGAAGGUUGGGUAACACUAACUGGAGGACCGAACCGACUAAUGUUGAAAAAUUAGCGGAUGACUUGUGGCUGGGGGUGAAAGGCCAAUCAAACCGGGAGAUAGCUGGUUCUCCCCGAAAGCUAUUUAGGUAGCGCCUCGUGAAUUCAUCUCCGGGGGUAGAGCACUGUUUCGGCAAGGGGGUCAUCCCGACUUACCAACCCGAUGCAAACUGCGAAUACCGGAGAAUGUUAUCACGGGAGACACACGGCGGGUGCUAACGUCCGUCGUGAAGAGGGAAACAACCCAGACCGCCAGCUAAGGUCCCAAAGUCAUGGUUAAGUGGGAAACGAUGUGGGAAGGCCCAGACAGCCAGGAUGUUGGCUUAGAAGCAGCCAUCAUUUAAAGAAAGCGUAAUAGCUCACUGGUCGAGUCGGCCUGCGCGGAAGAUGUAACGGGGCUAAACCAUGCACCGAAGCUGCGGCAGCGACACU